AUGAUUUCUUGGAGAAACACUACACUCAGCCGGGCACCUAACCGAGCUACACCCAAACCAGUGUUCUUGGAAAGAUGGAAAGAAGUGCUUCAUACCGAGGCUGGGGGCAAAGAGCUCAAGCAUGAGAGUUGCAUAUUUGUGAAGCAAUCAAAGGACAAGAGCUCAGCUAUGAUGGCUGCGGUAAGGCCACUGGAGCCCAUGGGUUGAGGGAGCAAUUGAUGCAGGUUCCAGCAGAUGGAAAGGCUCCUCUGAAGAGUAAGUCCCCAAAGAGAAAGAGGUGAGUGGAAGGGAAGACACUCCUGCACAUUCAUUAUAAACCAAGCCCCCAAAUGGGAAGAAACAGUAUAUUCAAGUACUGUGACGGGAUGUACUGGAUUACAAAUGGGAGAUGGGUAGGGGAGAGAAAGGAGCAAGACACCGCCAAAUAAUAGCUUUUAACGGGGAGGAUAGGUAGUAAGCGUUCCCUGCGUCACUUCUGGAUGUUUUUUUUGUUUUUUUUUUUUUAAAGAUUUUAUUUAUUUAUGUGACAGAGAGACAGCCAGCGAGAGAGGGAACACAGCAGGGGAGUGGGAGAGGAAGAAGCAGGCUCAUAGCGGAGGAGCCUGAUGUGGGGCUCGAUCCCAUAACGCCGGGAUCACGCCCUGAGCCGAAGGCAGACGCUUAACGACUGCGCUACCCAGGNCCUGGACUCUUAGUAUUUUAUGUGAUGUGGCAAAGAAAAGUUAAGUUGGCAGAGAGCACUAAGAUUGCUAAUCAGCUGCCCUUAAGCUUAUCCUGGGUUAUCCGGUGGGCCUGAUUUAAUCAGAAGGGUCUGUUAAAGCAGAAGGAGUCAAGAGUUAAAUAUUUAAAGAUGCUGCACUGCGGGCUCUGAAGGUAGAAAAUGAGGCCACAGGGACGCCUGGGUGGCUCAGUCCGUUAAGCGUCUGCCUUCAGCUCAGGUCAUGAUCCCAGUGUCCUGGGAUCGAGUCCCACAUCAGGCUCCCCGCUCAGCGGGUAGCCUGCUUCUCUCUCUGCCUGCUGCUCCCCCUGCUUGUGUGCUCUCUCUCUCUGUGGCAAAUAAAUAAAUAAAAUCUUUAAAAAGAAAAAAAAGAAAAAAGAAAAAAAGAAAAUGAGGCCACAAAGCAAGGAACGCAGGUGAUCUCCACACGGAAAAGGCAAG
This 1159-nucleotide long non-coding RNA is filed under the name Ailuropoda melanoleuca (giant panda). RNAcentral's name for it is "lncRNA (ENSAMEG00000028511.1)". Lineage: Eukaryota; Metazoa; Chordata; Mammalia; Carnivora; Ursidae. The record is from RNAcentral.